UUAAAAAGCUCGUAGUUGAAUUUCGGGAUCGAAUUGUUGGUCGUGCUUCGGUACGCACUGGCAUUAUCGGUUCCUACCUUCUGAAGAACCGCGAUGUCAUUAAUUUGGUGUCGUGGGGAAUCAGGACUGUUACUUUGAAAAAAUUAGAGUGUUUAAAGCAGGCUUACGCUUGAAUACAUUAGCAUGGAAUAAUGAAAUAGGACGUUUGAUUCUAUUUUGUUGGUUUCUAGGAUCGACGUAAUGAUUAAUAGGGAUAGUUGGGGG
This 264-nucleotide ribosomal RNA is filed under the name uncultured Glomus. RNAcentral describes it as "partial 18S ribosomal RNA". It matches the Rfam family "Eukaryotic small subunit ribosomal RNA", at positions 619 to 888 of the family's 1831-position model. The record is from RNAcentral. Lineage: Eukaryota; Fungi; Glomeromycota; Glomeromycetes; Glomerales; Glomeraceae.